RNAcentral lists this unclassified non-coding RNA (221 nucleotides) under Hevea brasiliensis (rubber tree). The record is from RNAcentral. Lineage: Eukaryota; Viridiplantae; Streptophyta; Magnoliopsida; Malpighiales; Euphorbiaceae.
GAUCAAACAAUGCCUAUGUCGACCUCAGUGACAAUAUCCAGAAUAUUUCAAUCACAAAGAACUCCCUGAGGGAAAUCAGAGGGAAGUCAGCACAGAUUGGCAGGCAUCAUGUGCCAUUACUUGUUCAUUAGAAUUCAUCACUUGUGAGACAGAACCAUGACAUAAUCUUCACAUAUUUCACCAUCCAAAGACAUUCAUCUCGUCCGAUAUUGGAAGAAGCU